This 468-nucleotide ribosomal RNA is filed under the name uncultured bacterium. RNAcentral describes it as "partial 16S ribosomal RNA". It matches the Rfam family "Bacterial small subunit ribosomal RNA", at positions 28 to 507 of the family's 1533-position model. The record is from RNAcentral.
GACGAACGCUGGCGGCGUGCUUAACACAUGCAAGUCGAACGAAAAGACCCGACUUUUGCGGGUUUCUCGAUUGCGGAAGGGGGGUGUAACCCAGGAUUAACCGCCCCUUGUCUUUGUGAUAUCUCAGGGAAACAGGGAAUCUAACCGAAUAGGAGCUCUUGAACCUGGGGGGUGUUGGGAAAUUGUGGGCGGUGGGGUCUGGUCUCGCGGCUUACCCGCUGGUUGGGGGGGUUGUGGCUUUCCAAGCCUUUGACGGGUAGCCGGCAUGAGAGGGUGACCGGCCACAUUGGGACUGAGAUACGGACCAGACUCCUACGGGAGGCAGAAGUGGGGAAUAUUGCACAAUGGGCGGAAGCCUGAUGCAGCAACGCCGCGUGCGGGAUGACGGCCUUCGUGUUGUAAACCGCUUUCGCCUGUGACGAAGCGUGAGUGACGGUAAUGGGUAAAGAAGCACCGGCUAACUACGUG